GAUGAACGCUAGCUACAGGCUUAACACAUGCAAGUCGAGGGGCAGCAUUUCAGUUUGCUUGCAAACUGGAGAUGGCGACCGGCGCACGGGUGAGUAACACGUAUCCAACCUGCCGAUAACUCGGGGAUAGCCUUUCGAAAGAAAGAUUAAUACCCGAUGGUAUAAUUAGACCGCAUGGUCUUGUUAUUAAAGAAUUUCGGUUAUCGAUGGGGAUGCGUUCCAUUAGGCAGUUGGUGAGGUAACGGCUCACCAAACCUUCGAUGGAUAGGGGUUCUGAGAGGAAGGUCCCCCACAUUGGAACUGAGACACGGUCCAAACUCCUACGGGAGGCAGCAGUGAGGAAUAUUGGUCAAUGGGCGCAGGCCUGAACCAGCCAAGUAGCGUGAAGGAUGACUGCCCUANGGGUUGUAAACUUCUUUUAUAUGGGAAUAAAGUUUCCACGUGUGGAAUUUUGUAUGUACCAUAUGAAUAAGGAUCGGCUUAACUCCGUG
RNAcentral lists this ribosomal RNA (491 nucleotides) under uncultured bacterium. RNAcentral's name for it is "bacterial SSU rRNA". It matches the Rfam family "Bacterial small subunit ribosomal RNA", at positions 28 to 507 of the family's 1533-position model. The record is from RNAcentral.